CUGCGGCAGCGAACGUAUCACCCAAGACAACUUUACGGAGUUGACGAUUGAUGGAGCGAAGCGACGUCAAAGCGUUCAUUAAAGUCGAGUUGGCUUAGGGAUACGUUCGUUGGGUAGGGGAGCGUUCUGUAAGCCUGUGAAGGUGGCCUGUGAGGGUUGCUGGAGGUAUCAGAAGUGCGAAUGCUGACAUAAGUAACGAUAAAGCGGGUGAAAAGCCCGCUCGCCGGAAGACCAAGGGUUCCUGUCCAACGUUAAUCGGGGCAGGGUGAGUCGACCCCUAAGGCGAGGCCGAAAGGCGUAGUCGAUGGGAAACGGGUUAAUAUUCCCGUACUUGGUGUUACUGCGAAGGGGGGACGGAGAAGGCUAUGUUGGCCGGGCGACGGUUGUCCCGGUUUAAGCGUGUAGGUGUGUGUUCCAGGUAAAUCCGGUUCACUUUAACACUGAGGCGUGAUGACGAGGCACUAUGGUGCUGAAGCAACAAAUGCCCUGCUUCCAGGAAAAGCCUCUAAGCAUCAGGUAACAUCAAAUCGUACCCCAAACCGACACAGGUGGUCAGGUAGAGAAUACCAAGGCGCUUGAGAGAACUCGGGUGAAGGAACUAGGCAAAAUGGUGCCGUAACUUCGGGAGAAGGCACGCUGACACGUAGGUGAAGUGAUUUACUCAUGGAGCUGAAGUCAGUCGAAGAUACCAGCUGGCUGCAACUGUUUAUUAAAAACACAGCACUGUGCAAACACGAAAGUGGACGUAUACGGUGUGACGCCUGCCCGGUGCCGGAAGGUUAAUUGAUGGGGUCAGCGCAAGCGAAGCUCCUGAUCGAAGCCCCGGUAAACGGCGGCCGUAACUAUAACGGUCCUAAGGUAGCGAAAUUCCUUGUCGGGUAAGUUCCGACCUGCACGAAUGGCGUAAUGAUGGCCAGGCUGUCUCCACCCGAGACUCAGUGAAAUUGAACUCGCUGUGAAGAUGCAGUGUACCCGCGGCAAGACGGAAAGACCCCGUGAACCUUUACUAUAGCUUGACACUGAACAUUGAGCCUUGAUGUGUAG
RNAcentral lists this ribosomal RNA (1044 nucleotides) under Salmonella enterica. RNAcentral describes it as "partial 23S ribosomal RNA". It matches the Rfam family "Bacterial large subunit ribosomal RNA", at positions 1200 to 2141 of the family's 2925-position model. The record is from RNAcentral. Lineage: Bacteria; Pseudomonadati; Pseudomonadota; Gammaproteobacteria; Enterobacterales; Enterobacteriaceae.